Octodon degus (degu) is the source of this 1728-nucleotide long non-coding RNA. RefSeq lists it as uncharacterized. The transcript has 2 exons. The record is from RefSeq and is a predicted model, not a curated record. NCBI's taxonomy places the organism in Eukaryota, Metazoa, Chordata, Mammalia, Rodentia, Octodontidae.
CUCGAGCGACGGGCUGGAGCCCGGAAUCCGACAGUUUCUGAAAGAAUCAAAGAAAUACCAAGAACUUACAAAUGAAGAGGACCUUCUUAGACCUAUAACUGGGACUAGCCAAUUCUUGAACUGCAGAAGCUUCAAUUUAUUCUCAGGAUAAAAGUCAAAACAAGCCUGUGACUGUCCCUUGAAUACUGAAGGUGUAAACAGGCCUCUGGCUUCCCCAGGUCAAGCACAGGAGCACUUGUUAGAAGGGAAGGAAGAGUUACUUCUUUGUUAUUCAAACAUACACCCACAAGCAUCCUCUUCACCCUCCCUAAUGAAAAGCCUCAACAGAUGGAGAGCCUGGGCUCAGGGGGCCUGCUGGCUGAGGUUGCCCUUCACUGGGGCCAGCUAGCUGGUAAGAUGGGGAAGAAUGGAGAAGGGGCUAGGAUAAGUAAUCACUAUCUUUUAAUAGUUCUUACAGAUAACAACUUGACAAAUCUUGUUCAGCAAGGUGAGUACCCUGUGGGGCCUAGAAAACCAGUGUGGCUGUUGUAUCUCUAAUAGGGACAGGCUUAAAGCUGCAUCAAAGGGAACAUACUUGCACUGUAUUACCUUCCCCUCUCUCAUGUGAAAGCCUGUACAAAGAAAUGGUACAAAUGGAUGGUUAACUUAAUGAUUCCACUGGAGAUGGGUAUUUCCCUGCCAGGUCCUGGAGUGAGCCUGAAAUCUGAAACCCAGAAGGCAGAAUCUAUAGCUAAUUGUUCUUUCUUACCUCCUGACCAGUGGCAGGACUACUGUUCAAGGCCUUUUCCUCAGUAGCUUCUGCAACCCCUGGUUAGCUCCAACUAGAUCCUCCACUCCAGGCUGGGUCCUGCCUUUCUCCUGGUUGUAAGGAAAGCUCUCCUUCUGCUUGAAUCAUUUCUCACCCCAGCUCCUGCUGUGCAGCAAGCUAUCCCUGCCUUAAUUCAUAUUUGAUUGUAGAGAGCCACCAGGAACCCAGGUAGAUGGCCACUCCUCCUGGGUGGGCCUAGGCUUACAGCCCUGACUGCCCUCCCCUUUCUUGAGAUCUUAAGAGACAUCCCCCCCCCCCAGCCCUGAAUGCUGUAGGUAUUGAGGGCAAAGCAGCACUAGCGAAAGGCAGGAGUCUAAGAGCUAUUUCUUCCACUUACAGGCAACCAAGGUAGCUCUCCCAGAGACCAAAGCCCCAGCCAGCAAGGGAAGGCUGGCCUCUUCGCGCCUCUGGGCGCCCCCUGUGCUGCCUCCUCCACGGUGGCCUCUGCUGCAGAACCCGUGGGGAAGCAGUGCACACAAUGGCGCGCAUGCCUUGGGCUUCAGGCUGCUCUGGGUACCCUCAGCGCAGGGAGGCCGAGAGCAACUUCAAGGCCUGAGUGCGCACCCCUUUCCCCCCAGAGCAUUCUGCCCCAAGCGAGGCCAGAGCUGGGGUGGGGUUCUGCUUCCCCUGCGGACUUUGCCUGCAGGUACUGCUCUGGGUCCUCCCAGAGAAAAGAGGCCGCGGCCCUGGGUGCCAUUGGCGGCCGGCUCCCCUCCCCCACGCUUCUUUCUUUGCUUCUGCGAGACCCGGGAGGGAGGAGGCAGGCGCCUCUGCAGAUAGAGCCGCUAUUGUGACCUUCCCUUGCGAGCGGGAACCCAGCCGAGUGCGUACCCGCUGUCGGUAGCGGGGGGAGGAGAAGACUGUGUGCAAACCUCGGCUGGGAGGGGGUGGCCCUGGGAAAUAAAGGUUUGCAACCUCGG